UACGGGGGGGGCAAGCGUUGUUCGGAAUUACUGGGCGUAAAGGGCUUGUAGGUGGCCAACUAAGUCAGACGUGAAAUCCCUCGGCUUAACCGGGGAACUGCGUCUGAUACUGGAUGGCUUGAGCGUGGGAGAGGGAUGCGGAAUUCCAGGUGUAGUGGUGAAACGCGUAGAUAUCUGGAGGAACACCAGUGGCGAAGGCGGCAUCCUGGCCCUGUCCUGACGCUCAGGGGCGAAAGCGUGGGGAGCAAACCGG
This 253-nucleotide ribosomal RNA is filed under the name uncultured bacterium. Its description in RNAcentral is "partial 16S ribosomal RNA". It matches the Rfam family "Bacterial small subunit ribosomal RNA", at positions 524 to 776 of the family's 1533-position model. The record is from RNAcentral.